AACGAGCAUUCAAAGCGUUAAGACGUGUGGGGUAGUUCGUACUAAAAACGUGAAAAAAUCGAGAUAGAAAAAAUUAUAUAUAAAAUUUUGAAUAUAAAGAAAACAGGAAGAAGAUUCUUUUUUGUUGUUUUGAGAAUUAAAAAGUGUUAACUGUUGUAAAUUAUAAGAAAUAAACCUGAUUUUUACGAGUCAAACAAAAAAAAGUGUAAAAAAAAUUAAUGAGAUUUAUAAUAAAGAUUAUGUCAUUGCAAUUAAAGUAUACGUGAAAAAAAUCCAUAAGAUACAAAAGUAUCUUAGGAGCUAAAUCAUUAAAACUACGCACAAAUUAAGGCCAAUAACAACAGCAAUAAAAAACAAAUCAUAUCUUUAAUAAAUAGAAAAGAAAACAACAAAUUUUACAAAAAAAAAAAAUAAACGAAAAUAAAUUUUCGAAAAAAUAAAUAACAAAAGCAACAAAUUAAAAUCUAAAGAAAAAAAUAAAUUGAAAAAAAAA
Lucilia sericata (common green bottle fly) is the source of this 493-nucleotide long non-coding RNA. RefSeq lists it as uncharacterized. The transcript has 2 exons. NCBI's taxonomy places the organism in Eukaryota, Metazoa, Arthropoda, Insecta, Diptera, Calliphoridae. The record is from RefSeq and is a predicted model, not a curated record.